RNAcentral lists this ribosomal RNA (586 nucleotides) under Botryotrichum murorum. Its description in RNAcentral is "LSU rRNA". It matches the Rfam family "Eukaryotic large subunit ribosomal RNA", at positions 75 to 687 of the family's 3401-position model. The record is from RNAcentral. Lineage: Eukaryota; Fungi; Ascomycota; Sordariomycetes; Sordariales; Chaetomiaceae.
UUGCCCCAGUAACGGCGAGUGAAGCGGCAACAGCUCAAAUUUGAAAUCUGGCUUCGGCCCGAGUUGUAAUUUGCAGAGGAAGCUUUAGGCGCGGCACCAUCUGAGUCCCCUGGAACGGGGCGCCACAGAGGGUGAGAGCCCCGUAUAGAUGGACGCCUAGCCUGUGUAAAGCUCCUUCGACGAGUCGAGUAGUUUGGGAAUGCUGCUCUAAAUGGGAGGUAAAUUUCUUCUAAAGCUAAAUACCGGCCAGAGACCGAUAGCGCACAAGUAGAGUGAUCGAAAGAUGAAAAGCACUUUGAAAAGAGGGUUAAAUAGCACGUGAAAUUGUUGAAAGGGAAGCGCUUGUGACCAGACUUGCGCCGGGCGGAUCAUCCGGUGUUCUCACCGGUGCACUCCGCCCGGCUCAGGCCAGCAUCGGUUCUCGUGGGGGGACAAAGGUCCCGGGAACGUAGCUCCUCCGGGAGUGUUAUAGCCCGGGGCGUAAUGCCCUCGCGGGGACCGAGGACCGCGCUUCGGCAAGGAUGCUGGCGUAAUGGUCAUCAGCGACCCGUCUUGAAACACGGACCAAGGAGUCAAGGUUUUGCGC